AGAUACCUGUAUAUCUCAUAUGAACUUUGAGACACAGUCCUUAGCAAGCUUGGCAGCAAAAAGCAUCCUCUCUUGAAGUCAGUGCCGAAAUGGUCAGAAUCUGGUUUACACAACUGAAGUCUUACAAAAUGAAAAUUUAUUAGAGAAUAAGUUGGUAUAGCUUUUUUGGAAAGUUAUCCAGCAAUCCCUGGUAUAAUUGAGAAUGUGCAUUUUAUAUGACCACAGACUCCACCUCUAGGGGUGUGCUCUGUAAAAAUCCACUCAUAUCUGCACACAAUGACAUGAAUAAGAAUGUUCAUAACAGCUUUGUGUGUAAUGGUGAAGAAUUAGAAACAAACCAACUUCCACCCAUGGAAGGAUAAAUAAAUUAUGGGUAUCCAUACUCUGAAAUACAAUUCAACACUGAAAAUAACUGAACUAGAAUAAUGUAUAUCAACAUGAAUUUUACCACAUUAUAUUCUUGAUUAAAAAUGCAAUUUGCAAAUGAAUACAGAAGAAUACAAUAUAAUAAUAUUUUUUAAAAUCUACAAAAAUGAAAAAAUAAGAUUGAAAAUUACUUAGGGACCUGUAUCUAAUUAGUAAAGGUGUGCAGAGAUGCAUAGGAAUGAUAAACUCCAAGUUCACGUAUGAGGAGUGAGGGGGAUUUGAACAGGAAGGGGGUCACAGGGAUUCAAUAUUGGGUGUUUGUAGCAGUUUCGGUUUUUCCUUAUAUUAGCCAUUCAACUUUUUUAAUGGCUGAGAUAACUUAUAAGACAACUUUUGGAAAUUCGUCUGAAAAUAAAAUUAGAAUCCAUCUACUCAUCUGUAUAUCAAUAUAUAUUCUCCCCUGGUAAAUAUUAACUGAACUAUUUUACAUAGGUGCUAUUCUAGGAGCUGUGAGAGAAAGAAGGGAAGUAAAAAGGCACAGCGUGUGCCACCCAAAAAGCUGACAAGACUAGUAGGGAAGACAAGAUGCAAGGAAAUUUAGGCAAUACUCUGAUAAAGGGGGAAUCUAAAAGGAAGACACAGCCUGAAGCAAUGGUAUACACAGAGCCAGUUCCCAGGAAUGUGGUGAAAGGCAGGGAAUAUCAUGGGUAUGAGACAAAAUCAAUUCAUGGACAAAAAUCCACUCAUUGAACUCCAGGUUCUUUCCAGGAUGCAACAGAAUCCAUUAACUUAGCAAGUGCUUCCACUCAGGCCUAGGCUGUCUCAAACACUUCUUAUAAUUGCAAAAAAAUAAAAAAAUAAAAAUCCCCUGCACAAAGGGUAUUUUCCUUCUGUGUUGUGUGUACUUUGUCAAUAUAAGUGCCACAGCACUCCUUCUGGAGGUGUAACAGUGGCAGGGCAAUAUCCACUAGUCAUUCUGAUAUCUUGUGUCAACAGAGCUCUUUGUGAUUCUGUUUUAACCAAGAACAUAUAAGAACAUAUUGCACUGGACUAGAACAGCUUCAUACCCCUCACAAGAGACCCAGGGCAUGCAGUGUAGGAUUGCUCAGUUGUCCUUGUGGCCAACCUUUGUAUGAGUAAGAGUGAGGGAUGCUUUGGGAAAAGCUAAAUCUUCUGGAAGGUCCUUAUCGGCUGUGAUAUUACCUGCUUCAGUUUCCCAAAUAGGGGAUCCUUGAGUACAUAGAUGCUUCUAAACCUUUUAACUGGGAUUUCUUUAGUUACUGCACUAGAUGGUCUUGAAAAUAACAAGCUCUAAAAAAAUCCUUUUCAUUGAUGGCUUAUUUUCAUCUCUCCUGAAACUGUAUGUUUUUGAGACUUGAAGAGAAUCUCAAGUAUUUCAUAAAUAGUGAACCAACUUAAGUUUACCUCAUCUAGAUUUUCCAUGAUUUUUAUAACCUUUAUAACUAGUUCUUUACCCUCAUUUUUCUAGAAUGAGAAGCUAUUAAUUUUCUUCCAUAUUUUUCAUAUUUUAUUAAAAAUUUAUAAUAUCCUCAAAAUAAAAAGGACACUUUGUUGACUUGUGUAUGCAUUUGUGGCUGUAUCUGAGCUUAUUCGGGGAAUUCACUUACAUACUGUGCCACUUCAGUUUUAUCUUGUGAUGGAUUAUGUCAGAGGGAUUGGGAAAGAACACCAGAAUCAGGACUUAUUAAUUAUGAGUUAUAAAUUAGGAAGUCUUUUAUUGCAUCUUCACCAUUCCUAAUCCAUGUAAGUAUCUGUCUGGUAAGCUUUCAUAAAAUAUUCAAGGUAAAAAGAAACCUUGGAGAGUAUCAUGUUUGAGGUUUCUCAAAUUCAGUCCAGGGAUCGUUACUGCUGAGGUGCCAUAAUAAAUUGAUUUUAUUCACAGAGUUCCCAUUGUGGUAAAGCAUAAACAAAUCUGACUAGUCACCAUGAGGUUGUGGGUGUGAUCCCUGGCCUUGCUCAGUGGGUUAAGGAUCUGGCGUUGCCGUGAGCUGUGGUGUAGGUCGCGGAUGAGGCUCUGAUACUGUGUUGCUGUGGCUGUGGCAUAGGCUGGUAGUCAUAGCUCCAAUUCGAUCCCUAGCCUGGGAACCUCCAUGUGCUAUGGGUGUGACACCCCUCCCGAAAUGAUUUUAUUCAGAAAUAAAGAGUUCCAUGGUCAAUUGUUUCAAGGGUAAACUGGAUGAAAUAGGCAUGCUGCUGUUCUGCAGGACUUUUCAGAGCCUUCAUAAUGCUAGUAUGAUGGUGAGUCUCUGAAAGGGGAUAAAACUUGGAGCAUUUUCUGAACAUCCUGGUUCACAGAUUCGUUUUUUGUCAUUGUUCAUAUGCUGCUGCUUAUGAAAAGUGUUUUGGGAGACACAGAUCUAACCUGACUUUAUUGGUUCACCCAACAAAAAUUAAGGCAAGAGAUGUUAAGGUAAUUUACUGAGGUCAUACAAUUGGUUUGUUCUGAAAUUGAGCAGGGGAAGAAGGAGGGGCAACCUCACUGAAUAACAUUUUUCCAAAUAGAUGUGUAUAGUGUGCAGUGUAUAUUAAAGUCUGUAUAAUGCUGAUGACAGAGAUGUUCCUUCUUUUGAACUAAACAAGGAGUGAUAUACUACACAUAUUACCGAGUCAUAUUACCAAAGAUGUCCCCAACCAUUAAACACAUACAGACAACCAGGAAUAGUUUACAGCAGCAACAGUGUUCUUUUAUUAAACACCUAUUUUGACAUUCAGGAUAACAAGAAAAAUAGGGAACUUAACAAUGCUAACAUCAUUAUCCACCCACAUAUAAGUUCUUUAGUAAUAUACAGACAUGUGCUAUCUUUUUAUAGCUUAAGAGUUUAGUAAUAGAAGGAUGAACUUCAAGAUUGUUACAUUUAACCCUUUCACUUUUUAAAUGAGGAAAAUGAAGCCCAAAUGGAUUAAACAAUAAAGACACACAAUUUGUUUUUGAAAGACCUGGGGUGAGAAUCUGGUUCUCCCUAUUCUCAUAGCAUGGUAUAUCCAGUCCUACUAAGUGUUUGUUGGGGUGCCCAGUUAUUGUAGAUAGCACAUGUGCUACUACAUUUUAUUCUUAUUUGGAAUUUCAUUCACUUUUACAGGUUAACGUGCAGUUGUGAAAUAAAAUGAUUUGUUAUUCCUGGGAGAUUGGAUCUCCUGUUCACUUAAGCCAGAGAAUGAGGAGUGUUAUCUUUGCAAGCAGCAUGAUGGAUGAGAAGUAACUAUUUGUCGAAUCCAGGUUUCAUUAAUCAUGAAUCGCCUUGUCUAGAGAUAUUUCAUGUCCACUCAUCUUCAAGGGGAUAGCUGGCUAGCUCUUCCCUUUCAUAUAUAAAUGCCAUGUGUCCUGCAAAGCAUAUAUAAGAGCAAGAGGGAACAUAAAAGUUGUAUGAGCUCAGAACAAAAGAGAAAUGAUCCUUUGUAAUGCACAGUAGAGGCAAACACUGGGAUACAUUUGUUAUUUUAUUUUAUUUUAUUGACUCUAAAGGAAAGGGAGAUCUAAGAUUGCUCUUCCCCAGGCUGGGGGCAAGUGUCUCCAGGCAUGUUUGGUGUCAUCACGAAUGCUCUGCUAUCCUAUCACUCUCACUAGAAGCAGUCCCUGUGUCUUUUCAUUGGUCCUUGUUAGGUCUGAGCAUUAGCGCCAAUGUCUGAAUUGCUUUCUGGAUUCCAAGCAACCUCCCCUUGAUCAGUCAGUCAGUCAGUCAGAAAUGCUUGUUCCCUGCCUAUCAGACCAUGUUCUUCUCUGUGUGAGGACUUCCUAGGAUCCCAGCCUUUCUGCGUUGUCAUAGUCUCCAUAGUUUUCCUUAGAGUCAUCUGACUGCCUGGCUCUGAAAACAAGUCACUUUAGUUAGUAGGCAUUAAUUACAGAGUUGCUCCACAGAUUCUGAUAUGGCCUGGUUAGCCUGGAUUAUUCUAUAUUGGCUGGACAAGGCUUGUUUUUAUGGGACACUGACUUUCAGGCUUUAGGUCCUCCUGUCUGGAUCAUCAACAUUAGUCUGUGUUUUCCUCCUCAGUUUAUUUGGUUUCUUUAGGGCUGAUUCCUUUCCUCUCUGCUACUUUUAGCCUAUAUUUUUCCUAGGCACUUGAACUACCAGCUACCUACUGGCUAUAUCAACUUUAUGUGUUCCCAUACUUGGCCAACUUUGUCCUAUUAUGGUUAAAAUUCUAAACCAAAAUUGUAUAUGGAAACCUGGAGAGUUUCAGUUGACUGGGGGUACUCUACAGUGUAAGUACUUGUGGGUCAAUUAUGAUGCUGUCCCUGGAGGUGCUGGAUCAUGGUGCUUCUAAAUAUUCCCAAACAUAAAUUUUGUCUGUGUGCACCAUAGAAAGGGAUUCUUCUCUCCUGAAGAAAAAGGGAGCAGAAUUUAAUUUGUUCUGUGACAAGAUUUGUAUCAGAGGCAGUAAUAAGAUUCAAGGUAAUUAGGGUACUUGACAACUCAGAUCCAAAUUAUAGCAGUCAUGCUUUAACAGAUUUCAAAGUGACAUCCAGACAUGGGUGCUGGCAAACACUUUUACCAGAAUUCAAACCCAUCUAAAUGUCCCCUUGUUGGUCUGAGAGCCUUGUCUUUGGAUGAGAAAGCAAGCUUGGCUCCCUGUGCACUGAGGAGCUGUAGCUCCUGGGGAGACAGGAGAUCAAUGGGAUGAGCACUGUGGGAUAUUUAUGGAGAAGUCAACUGGGGAGCUUUGGGAAGAGUCGGCACCAGAUUUGAAUAAUUAAUAUUCAAUCCUUAAUAGACCACGGCAUCGGUGGACCCCAGAAUAUUUGGCUAUUAUUCAUAAACAGCCUUGAUGACCUCAGAGUUUGAAUGCUUGUGGUUGAUAGGUUGGGGGAAGCCUCAAGAACAUAGAGAUUACGGGUUAUAAUAACUUGAGUUAUGGCAGAUGCCUCUGUGUAUCCCAAAUUAAUUCGUGGUAGUACUUUCUUUGCCUUUUGCCUUAAAGAGAAACAGAAAGAAUGGUAAAUAUAGAGUAGGAAAUGGCCUGGAGGGAACUUUUAUUUUAAAAUAACAUUUAUUACUAGCCUAUAAUCAUUAAGGUAAUAGAUAGUGCAUAAUAUUCUCAAAGUACAGAGUGAAAAGCACUCAGAUAGAAGUAAAUGCCACCAAAAUUCCAUGAGAAAAAGAUGAAUACAUUCUCUUGCAAAAUAGUUUUGGUUUUUCACAUAUGCUUAUAUAAAAUAGUUAAUGAUAUGUAAUGACAUAAAUGACAUAAAUUUUCUAGCUAGCUAACUGGAUUUUUAACAGCAAAAUAGAGUGUAUUUAGAUUUAAUAAUUUUAUGUAGUUUUUUUGCUACAAGAUCUAGGGCACUUUUUUCAUAUUAAUACAUAGCAAUUAUUGUUUUGAGGCUACUAUAACUGUUUCCUCUCUUAUAUCUAUCAAAUUUUUUUCCAGUUUUUUGUUUACUUUCUACUUUGCUUAAAGAUGAUGUGUAUUUUUUGCUUGUAUAAUUACUUUAUAAGUGAAAAGAAAGAGAGAAAUAUACUUUCUCUAAAAUAACUAUAUCUUGAAAAUUCAGAGUGUACAUGCUGACAUAAAACAUUUUAUUACAAAAUGGGUUUCCACAGAAUAAUAUGCUUGGCAUUUGCUUCUUUAUCUUUGCCAUGUUUCUGGACAAGAGGGACACUUAAUUCACAGCCUAUGUUCUCUCUGCCCAGCAGUUAAAGAGAUUGAUGUUCUUGCAUGCAAACAAUAAAUUUACAGGGAAACUGCCCAUAAAGUCUCUUUCAGGAUGUUUAGUGCUGUAGACUUUGGCAUAAAGAGAAAAUUCCAACUAUGUCGUUUCAGAAUUCUUAGAGAAAUCAGCAGGUGAGGUUUGAUUGAUGGGCAUGUCCCACAUCCUUUAUACCCAAUGCCUCUGCAGUUUACUUCUGCAAACUCUAAUACAUUUUCCCAGAGGGAAUACGUAAAGUGCUUUCUCAGGUUUUGAGAUCUUUCUACUUCCUAUAUCUGAUGCAGACAGCAGACAGAUUGGGAAAAUGACCAAAAGAAGUGCCAGGCGUAAAGGC
Molecule: long non-coding RNA, 6368 nt
Filed under: Sus scrofa (pig)
Lineage: Eukaryota; Metazoa; Chordata; Mammalia; Artiodactyla; Suidae
Description: lncRNA (ENSSSCG00000058294.1)
Source: RNAcentral